AGAGUUUGAUCAUGGCUCAGGAUGAACGCUAGCGGCAGGCUUAACACAUGCAAGUCGAGGGGCAGCAUAAUGGAUAGCAAUAUCUAUGGUGGCGACCGGCGCACGGGUGCGUAACGCGUAUGCAACCUACCUUUAACAGGGGGAUAACACUGAGAAAUUGGUACUAAUACCCCAUAAUAUCAUAGAAGGCAUCUUUUAUGGUUAGAAAAUUCCGAUGGUUAGAGAUGGGGCAUGCGUUGUAUUAGCUAGUUGGUGGGGUAACGGCUCACCAAGGCGACGAUACAGUAGGGGGACUGAGAGGUUAACCCCCCACACUGGUACUGAGACACGGACCAGACUGCUACGGGAGGCA
Molecule: ribosomal RNA, 352 nt
Filed under: uncultured bacterium
Lineage: Bacteria
Description: bacterial SSU rRNA
Rfam family: Bacterial small subunit ribosomal RNA
Source: RNAcentral